AGCCUUCAGCCGACCAAGUAUUGAAGGUGAUGCCUGCCCAGUGACCCCCUGUUCAACGGCCGCGGUAUCCUAACCGUGCGAAGGUAGCGCAAUCAAUUGUCUCAUAAAUCGAGACUUGUAUGAACGGCUAAACGAGGUCCUAACUGUCUCUUACAGAUAAUCAGUGAAAUUGAUCUCCCCGUGCAAAAGCAGGGAUAAACACAUAAGACGAGAAGACCCUGUGGAACUUUAAAAUCAACGGCCAUCACACGACAGACCAAAACCUACUAGGCUCACUACCUUAAAGCACUGACUCGUAUUUUUCGGUUGGGGCGACCUUGGAGAAAAACAAACCCUCCAAAAACAGGACCACACCUCCUGACCAAGAGCAACUCAUCAACGUACAAACAGUAACCAGACCCAAUACAAUUGACCAAUGGACCAAGCUACCCCAGGGAUAACAGCGCAAUCUCCCUCAAGAGCCCAUAUCGACAGGGGGGUUUACGACCUCGAUGUUGGAUCAGGACACCCCAGUGGUGCAGCCGCUACUAAGGGUUCGUUUGUUCAACGAUUAACAGUCCU
Molecule: ribosomal RNA, 561 nt
Filed under: Ciconia ciconia (White stork)
Lineage: Eukaryota; Metazoa; Chordata; Aves; Ciconiiformes; Ciconiidae
Description: partial large subunit ribosomal RNA
Rfam family: Bacterial large subunit ribosomal RNA
Source: RNAcentral